AUUGAACGCUGGCGGAAUGCUUUACACAUGCAAGUCGAACGGCAGCACGGGUGCUUGCACCUGGUGGCGAGUGGCGCACGGGUGAGUAAUGUAUCGGAACGUAUACACUAAUGGGGGAUAACUAAUCGAAAGGUUAGCUAAUACCGCAUACGCCCUACGGGGGAAAGCAGGGGAUCUUCGGACCUUGCGUUAAUGGAGCGGCCGAUAUCUGAUUAGCUAGUUGGUGAGGUAAAGGCUCACCAAGGCUUCGAUCAGUAGCUGGUCUGAGCGGACGACCAGCCACACGGGAACUGAGACAAGGUCCAGACUCCUACGGGAGGCAGCAGUGGGGAAGUUUGGACAAUGGAGGCAACCCUGAUCCAGCCAUUCCGCGUGAGGGAAGAAGGCCUUCGGGUUGUAAAGCUCUUUCGCAAGGGAAGAAACGAUACAGUCGAAUAAACUGUGUUAAUGACGGUACCUUGAUAAGAAGCACCGGCUAACUACGUGCCAGCAGCCGCAGUAA
RNAcentral lists this ribosomal RNA (502 nucleotides) under uncultured bacterium. Its description in RNAcentral is "partial 16S ribosomal RNA". It matches the Rfam family "Bacterial small subunit ribosomal RNA", at positions 30 to 523 of the family's 1533-position model. The record is from RNAcentral.